Molecule: long non-coding RNA, 488 nt
Organism: Aegilops tauschii subsp. strangulata
Lineage: Eukaryota; Viridiplantae; Streptophyta; Magnoliopsida; Poales; Poaceae
Source: RefSeq, a predicted model, not a curated record
AGGAAGCCCAGAAUUGUGAUUCAGUGGACAUAUUGUAGUUGCAUGUGCCUUGCAUGCAAAUUUGAGGAGGAGGGAUUCAAGGGCUAGGUAAAACUGGUACAGCUUUAACACGGUUCCUUGCUCACUGUGGUAAAUUAAAACAAUAAAUUGAGGAGUUUAGAGCCUGCCUAGAGACCUCGCAUAGCACUGCCUCAGUUGGCAAUGACAUCAUGAUGAUCGCGUCUGGUCUACUCCAAGUCUCCGCUUGUGGUUUGUGUUCUUCAGGUCUCCACUAGCCAUGAUAUUGCGGCUGGGCUUCGGUUCUAAUUAGGGCCUGCUUCUGUUUGCACCAAUUCGAGAUAGUGGUUGUGGAAUGCAGCAGCCAAGACAACAAGGUCAGGCUCGGCUUAGGUAUGAUGACAAACAAAAUUAGAUUCGGAUGGUUCCUUACAUCUUCCUCUCAGAAUCAAGAGUGAUAAUACUUUUUUUGGUGCUCUAGCUUCUGCAGA